Molecule: transfer RNA, 73 nt
Filed under: Thermoplasmata archaeon
Lineage: Archaea; Methanobacteriati; Thermoplasmatota; Thermoplasmata
Also listed under: 1 other name
Description: tRNA-Thr
Rfam family: tRNA
About the family: Transfer RNA (tRNA) molecules are approximately 80 nucleotides in length. Their secondary structure includes four short double-helical elements and three loops (D, anti-codon, and T loops). Further hydrogen bonds mediate the characteristic L-shaped molecular structure. tRNAs have two regions of fundamental functional importance: the anti-codon, which is responsible for specific mRNA codon recognition, and the 3' end, to which the tRNAs corresponding amino acid is attached (by aminoacyl-tRNA synthetases). tRNAs cope with the degeneracy of the genetic code in two manners: having more than one tRNA (with a specific anti-codon) for a particular amino acid; and 'wobble' base-pairing, i.e. permitting non-standard base-pairing at the 3rd anti-codon position.
Source: RNAcentral
GCCGCCAUAGCUCAGUCGGUAGAGCGGCUGAUUUGUAAUCAGCAGGUCGGGAGUUCGAGCCUCCCUGGCGGCU